Molecule: transfer RNA, 68 nt
Filed under: human gut metagenome
Also listed under: 1 other name
Rfam family: tRNA
About the family: Transfer RNA (tRNA) molecules are approximately 80 nucleotides in length. Their secondary structure includes four short double-helical elements and three loops (D, anti-codon, and T loops).
Source: RNAcentral
UUCGUAGCUCAGUCGGUAGAGCAAAGGACUGAAAAUCCUUGUGUCACUGGUUCGAUUCCAGUCGGAGC